GAUGAACGCUGGCGGCGUGCCUAAUACAUGCAAGUCGAGCGAACGGACGAGAAGCUUGCUUCUCUGAUGUUAGCGGCGGACGGGUGAGUAACACGUGGACAACCUACCUAUAAGACUGGGAUAACUUCGGGAAACCGGAUCUAAUACCGGAUGAUAUUUUGAACCGCAUGGUUCAAAAGUGAAAGACGGUCUUGCUGUCACUUAUAGAUGGAUCCGCGCUGCAUUAGCUAGUUGGUAAGGUAACGGCUUACCAAGGCAACGAUGCAUAGCCGACCUGAGAGGGUGAUCGGCCACACUGGAACUGAGACACGGUCCAGACUCCUACGGGAGGCAGCAGUAGGGAAUCUUCCGCAAUGGGCGAAAGCCUGACGGAGCAACGCCGCGUGAGUGAUGAAGGUCUUCGGAUCGUAAAACUCUGUUAUUAGGGAAGAACAUAUGUGUAAGUAACUGUGCACAUCUUGACGGUACCUAAUCAGAAAGCCACGGCUAACUACGUG
RNAcentral lists this ribosomal RNA (497 nucleotides) under uncultured bacterium. RNAcentral describes it as "partial 16S ribosomal RNA". It matches the Rfam family "Bacterial small subunit ribosomal RNA", at positions 28 to 507 of the family's 1533-position model. The record is from RNAcentral.